RNAcentral lists this ribosomal RNA (471 nucleotides) under Cellulosimicrobium cellulans. RNAcentral's name for it is "bacterial SSU rRNA". It matches the Rfam family "Bacterial small subunit ribosomal RNA", at positions 1 to 489 of the family's 1533-position model. Lineage: Bacteria; Bacillati; Actinomycetota; Actinomycetes; Micrococcales; Promicromonosporaceae. The record is from RNAcentral.
UGGAGAAGUUUGAUCCUGGCUCAGGACGAACGCUGGCGGCGUGCUUAACACAUGCAAGUCGAACGAUGAUGCCCAGCUUGCUGGGUGGAUUAGUGGCGAACGGGUGAGUAACACGUGAGUAACCUGCCCUUGACUUCGGGAUAACUCCGGGAAACCGGGGCUAAUACCGGAUAUGAGCCGCCCUCGCAUGGGGGUGGUUGGAAAGUUUUUCGGUCAGGGAUGGGCUCGCGGCCUAUCAGCUUGUUGGUGGGGUGAUGGCCUACCAAGGCGACGACGGGUAGCCGGCCUGAGAGGGCGACCGGCCACACUGGGACUGAGACACGGCCCAGACUCCUACGGGAGGCAGCAGUGGGGAAUAUUGCACAAUGGGCGAAAGCCUGAUGCAGCGACGCCGCGUGAGGGAUGAAGGCCUUCGGGUUGUAAACCUCUUUCAGCAGGGAAGAAGCGCAAGUGACGGUACCUGCAGAAGAA